GACGAACGCUGGCGGCGUGCUUAACACAUGCAAGUCGAACGGAAAGGCCCUGCUCUUGUGGGGUUCUCGAGUGCCGAGCGGGUGAGUAUCACAUGAGUAACCUGCCCUUGUAUUUCUGAUAACUUUUGGGAACUGCGGCUAAUAUCGGAUAGGAUCUCCUGCUGCACGGUGGUGGUUGGAAAGAUUCGGCGGUUGUGGAUCGACUCGCGGCUUAUCAGCUUGUUGGUGUGGUAGUGGCUUACAAAGGCUGUGACGGGUAGCCGGCCUGGGAGGGGGAACGGCCACAUGGGGACUGAGAUACGGCCCAGAAUCCUACGGGAGGCAGCAGUGGGGAAUAUGGCACAAUGGGCGGAAGCCUGAUGCAGCAACGCCGCGUGCGGGAUGACGGCCUUCGGGUUGUAAACCGCUUUCGCCUGUGACGAAGCGUGAGUGACGGUAAUGGGUAAAGAAGCACCGGCUAACUACGUG
This 468-nucleotide ribosomal RNA is filed under the name uncultured bacterium. Its description in RNAcentral is "partial 16S ribosomal RNA". It matches the Rfam family "Bacterial small subunit ribosomal RNA", at positions 28 to 507 of the family's 1533-position model. The record is from RNAcentral.